This 423-nucleotide ribosomal RNA is filed under the name Theileria equi. Its description in RNAcentral is "SSU rRNA". It matches the Rfam family "Eukaryotic small subunit ribosomal RNA", at positions 442 to 901 of the family's 1831-position model. The record is from RNAcentral. Lineage: Eukaryota; Apicomplexa; Aconoidasida; Piroplasmida; Theileriidae.
UACCCAAUCCUGACACAGGGAGGUAGUGACAAGAAAUAACAAUACGGGGCUUGAAGUCUUGUAAUUGGAAUGAUGGGAAUUUAAACCCCUUCCAGAGUAUCAAUUGGAGGGCAAGUCUGGUGCCAGCAGCCGCGGUAAUUCCAGCUCCAAUAGCGUAUAUUAAACUUGUUGCAGUUAAAAAGCUCGUAGUUGAAUUUCUGCUGUUUCGUUGACUGCGUUUGGCGUUUGUCAUCGUUGCGGCUUGGUUGGGUUUCGAUUAUUCGUUUCCCGGCGUUUACUUUGAGAAAAUUAGAGUGCUUGAAGCAGGCUUUUGCCUUGAAUACUUUAGCAUGGAAUAACGGAGUAGGACUUUGGUUCUAUUUUGUUGGUUUUAGGAGCCAGAGUAAUGGUUAAUAGGAACAGUUGGGGGCAUUCGGUAUUUAA